CAUUUGCAUAAUUUAAUAUGCAUGAUGUAUAUCAUUUGCAUAAUUUAUUCUGCAUGAUGUUUUUACAGGUAUGUUACUGUUUCAGUGUUUGAUAGGAAAUCUAUUUACUUUUUCUAUGAUGGGCAUGUUGAUUUGUUUUGCUGUGGAAAUUUUUAUGAUGGUGCUAAAAUUGUGUAGAGUAAGCUGACUAUAAAGUAACAGUAACUCAUAAAGCUUAUAUAAAACCAGAAAUCCAGAUAUAGAAAAGAAUUGUAUAGUUCAGAAUAUUUCUGUUAAAUUAUGAUAUUGAAGGAUGUAGAAAAAUCUUGUAACUGCUUCCUUUAGUGCACAGAGCUGAGAUACUUCAUUUAAUUUUGUACAAUUACAUAAAACAUUACUCUACUGUGAAGAGC
Molecule: long non-coding RNA, 392 nt
Filed under: Mytilus galloprovincialis (Mediterranean mussel)
Lineage: Eukaryota; Metazoa; Mollusca; Bivalvia; Mytilida; Mytilidae
Source: RNAcentral